UACUUCACCGGCGUCACCUGUGUGGCUGCCAUAGCAACAAGAAAACGCUGAGUGAAGGCCUGAGUGAACGCUUCCAUGAGUUAAGAACACCGUAAUUUGUGUUUGCAUAAUACGCAGAUAAUUGUAUUGAAAACUCUUAUAAUGGACCAGCCGUACUAUAACUUAGCACUGAUUUCGAUAUAGUUUUAUUUUGACUGAAAAAUAAGCAUAUUAUUCCGUAGCUACAAUGGCCGACACCCGUGUGCUUCCCAGUGGUAAAGUUUACCGGCAGAUGUUUGACGCUCAGGUUCAGCUGUCUCUGGCUCUCUUUGACUCGCGGAGGAAGCGCGUCGAGGAUGAGGGCGACGGUCUGCUCAGUGGAGACGCGGCGGACUCCGCAUCACAGCAGCUCAAUGGGACGAUCAACAUCGCCACACGGAACACACUUUACUCUGGUGGUGAAAGAAAUGAGGACC
RNAcentral lists this long non-coding RNA (455 nucleotides) under Sinocyclocheilus grahami. RNAcentral's name for it is "lncRNA (ENSSGRG00000020351.1)". Lineage: Eukaryota; Metazoa; Chordata; Actinopteri; Cypriniformes; Cyprinidae. The record is from RNAcentral.